GACGCCCUACGGGACGCAGCAGUGAGGAAUAUUGGUCAAUGGCCGGGAGGCUGAACCAGCCAAGUCGCGUGAGGGAAGACGGCCCUACGGGUUGUAAACCUCUUUUGUCAGGGAGCAAGGGGCGGGUCGAGACCUGCUGUGAGAGUACCUGAAGAAAAAGCAUCGGCUAACUCCGUGCCAGCAGCCGCGGUAAUACGGAGGAUGCGAGCGUUAUCCGGAUUUAUUGGGUUUAAAGGGGGC
Molecule: ribosomal RNA, 240 nt
Filed under: uncultured bacterium
Lineage: Bacteria
Description: partial 16S ribosomal RNA
Rfam family: Bacterial small subunit ribosomal RNA
Source: RNAcentral